UAUGUGGUACUAAUGACAAUUCUCACCAUUUUUUUGGUGUGAACUCCGCGAGUAAACUAGAACGAUUCACUUGAAAGUUGAAUAUGACAGCGUGGGAAAUCUGAUGAUGCCUAUUGAUUACGUUGCUUAUCUUGAUCAUAGGGAUAAAUUGUAAGAAUGAAUGAGGGCAUUAGUACUUAGCAGCUAGAGGUGAAAUUCCUAGAUUUGCUAAUGACUGCCUACUGCGAAAGCAUCUGCCUAAUUCAUUUUUGGUGAUCAAGUACUAAAGAGUGGGGAUCGAAGAGGAUUAGAUACCCUCGUAGUCCACUCCCUAAACGAUGCCGACUAGAGGUUGGUAUGCGUAUAUGAACUUUAUCAGAACCUUAGCAGAUAUGAAAGUCUUUGGGCUCUGGGGGGAGUACGGUCGCAAGGUCGAAACUUAAAGGAAUUGACGGAACGGCACCACCAGGGGUGGAGCGUGCGGCUUAAUUUGACUCAACGCGGGAAACCUUACUAGGGUAAGACAUCAGUAUGAUUGACAGAUUACUUGAUCUUUCUUGAUUUGGUGGGUGGUGGUGCAUGGCCGAUCUUAGUUGGUGGGGUGACCCGUCUGGUUAAUUUCGAUAACGAACGAGAUCCGAGCUGUUUAGUUGGCCAUGGCUGUAUUACAGUUAUGUGUCUCCUAUAUGGACUAUCAGUUUGAGGCUGAAGGAAGUUUCGGGCUAAAUCAGGUCUGUGAUGCCCUUAGACACUCUAGGCGGCACGCGCGCUACAAUGGGUAAAUGACUGUGUUACUGCCUGCGAAAGUAGGGGUGAAUCACGAAUUUUAACCCGCGAAUGGGAUAGUUUGUUGCAAUUUUCGGACUUGAACUAGGAAUCCCUUGUAAGCAUCCUCAAGAAUAGUAUGUUGAAUACGUCCCUGCCGUUUGUACACACCGCCCGUCGUUUCUUCCGACUGAUACUCAUUGUGAGUUGCAAGGAUCCUUUGUUGGAGAAUUGCUGCGAAUGCUUUGUAUUGGAGGAAGAAAAAGUCGUAACAAGGUUAUCGUAGGUGAACCUGCGAUAG
RNAcentral lists this ribosomal RNA (1045 nucleotides) under marine metagenome. Its description in RNAcentral is "bacterial SSU rRNA". It matches the Rfam family "Eukaryotic small subunit ribosomal RNA", at positions 710 to 1823 of the family's 1831-position model. The record is from RNAcentral.